RNAcentral lists this non-coding RNA (24 nucleotides) under Arabidopsis thaliana (thale cress). The record is from RNAcentral. Lineage: Eukaryota; Viridiplantae; Streptophyta; Magnoliopsida; Brassicales; Brassicaceae.
CACCAAUUAUCUUUUGUGAAUUGU